RNAcentral lists this ribosomal RNA (765 nucleotides) under Triticum aestivum (bread wheat). RNAcentral describes it as "partial small subunit ribosomal RNA". Lineage: Eukaryota; Viridiplantae; Streptophyta; Magnoliopsida; Poales; Poaceae. The record is from RNAcentral.
AUGUCCACAACUACGUGUUGCGGCCUUUGCGGUGCUGAAGAUUCUUGGCAACACUCUGUACUCCAUUGCAGCGUCACAAGAUGUGUCUGGGCCCUCCAAGAUCAUGAUCUGGUCGAAGCACUUAACAGUACGGUUGAGCCCGACGCAAAAAGGUGGGUGUUCGCACUGCAUGACAUGCUAACAAGUGAAGAGUUCACCCAGACAAUUGUCACCCUCUGGUCGAUCUGGUUUGCAAAGAGAAAGGCAUUGACAGGGCCUGUGCAGCAGCAGCAUUAGCGAGAGGCUUGGAGGCCACCACCACCUGGGUGUGUAAAGAUAAAAGUGGAUGGGGCUUUGGCACGUCAGGGAAACGGAGGCGCUUUCAGUGCAGUAUGCAGGGACUCAUCCGGUAUGUUUCUGGGUGUUUCAGCUAUACGGUGCAAGGACAUAACUGAUCCGGCAGUUCUUGAGGCUCUGGCAUGUCGCGAAGGUCAGGCACUGGCCAAUGACCUCGGUGCUACGUAUGCGUUAAUAGCAUCCGACUGCAAGAGGGUUAUCCAGGACAUCAAGAACAACACUGGAGGAGAAUACGGUUCGGUCAUUAGGGAAAUUUUGGAAACAUCAUUAUUGUUUCAACUUUGUACCUUCACCUUUGAAGGAAGAGAGACUAAUAUAGAGGCACAUAGACUUGCUAGACAUGCUUUGGGUCUGGGUCAUGGACGCCAUCUGUGGCUUAUAGAUCCACCAGACCUCAAUUGUAUUCCUAUGAACUUGUUGGCUGAAUGA